Molecule: ribosomal RNA, 425 nt
Filed under: uncultured bacterium
Lineage: Bacteria
Description: partial 16S ribosomal RNA
Rfam family: Bacterial small subunit ribosomal RNA
Source: RNAcentral
GUGGGGAAUCUUGCGCAAUGGGCGAAAGCCUGACGCAGCCAUGCCGCGUGAAUGAUGAAGGUCUUAGGAUUGUAAAAUUCUUUCACCGGGGACGAUAAUGACGGUACCCGGAGAAGAAGCUCCGGCUAACUUCGUGCCAGCAGCCGCGGUAAUACGAAGGGGGCUAGCGUUGCUCGGAAUUACUGGGCGUAAAGGGCGCGUAGGCGGACAGCUUAGUCAGAGGUGAAAGCCCAGGGCUCAACCUUGGAAUUGCCUUUGAUACUGGCUGUCUUGAGUUUGGGAGAGGUGAGUGGAACUCCGAGUGUAGAGGUGAAAUUCGUAGAUAGUCGGAAGAACACCAGUGGCGAAGGCGACUCACUGGCCCAAUACUGACGCUGAGGCGCGAAAGCGUGGGGAGCAAACAGGAUUAGAAACCCGUGUAGUCC